RNAcentral lists this ribosomal RNA (484 nucleotides) under uncultured bacterium. Its description in RNAcentral is "partial 16S ribosomal RNA". It matches the Rfam family "Bacterial small subunit ribosomal RNA", at positions 30 to 507 of the family's 1533-position model. The record is from RNAcentral.
AUUGAACGCUGGCGGCAUGCCUAACACAUGCAAGUCGAGCGGUUGAAGGGAGCUUGCUCCUGGCUUCAGCGGCGGACGGGUGAGUAAUGCCUAGGAAUCUGCCUGGUAGUGGGGGAUAACGUCCGGAAACGGGCGCUUAUACCGCACACGCUCUGAGUGAGAGAGUGGGGGAUCUUCGGACCUCACGCUAUCAGAUGAGCCUAGGUCGGAUUAGCUAGUUGGUGGGGUAAAGGCCUACCAAGGCGACGAUCCGUAACUGGUCUGAGAGGAUGAUCAGUCACACUGGAACUGAGACACGGCCCAGACUCCUACGGGAGGCAGCAGUGGGGAAUAUUGGACAAUGGGCGAAAGCCUGAUCCAGCAAUGCCGCGUGUGUGAAGAAGGUCUUCGGAUUGUAAAGUACUUUAGGUUGGGAGGAAGAGCAGUAAGUUAAUACCUUGCUGUUUUGACGGUACCGUAAGAAUAAGCACCGGCUAACUACGUG